CGGGAUAUACUUUAUUUGUGAUCUAGAUUAUUAUUUAUUGUAUGAUUUUGUGGUUUGUGUUUUUGAUGUAUAUGAAAAUGAUUUUUAUCUUUUUGGAUAUUUUAGGUGAGAAUGAAUUAUAUGUGAUAAUAUGUAUUUUGUUUAUUUACAAUAGUUGUUUCUAUAUUAAAGAGUUGUGGUAUUAAUAUACUGUAAAGGCUUCAAAUAGUCUUCAUGCUGUUUUCUUUUACAAAAAUUUGAUCCCAUAUUUCAUGCAUUCUUCAUGUUUUCAUGUGCAAGCAUAGCAAAAUUAUGGCAUAUAGAUGAUUUCAUACGAAGAUGUUUAGUCCUUGUUUCGGUUUUGUUUCAAAGCCAAAAUUGUUGUUUUUCCUAAUAUCAAUUUUUUUUUAUAGAUUAAGUAAAUAUUUAAUUACUCAAUCUCAUACACUGACUUUUACGGUUAGUGUACCUAAAUAUUGGUGAAAUUAAGCAAAAAAGAGAUUAGUAUAGUUAAAUGUAAUAUUUAUUCUAAGAAUUUUCAUUUGUUUGGUUUAUAUGAUAAGUUUGGUAAUAUUUAAUUAUUGAUCCAUGUUUUGUUAAGAUUAGUGGAGAAUGAUAAUUUUUAUGGGAUAAUUAUGUGGGUUGAGACUUUUUUUUUGUUUUUUUGUUGUUGAAUGAGAAUGAAAAUGAAAAUGAAAAUGUUUAUGUGCAUGACAAAAUAAUAUAAAUAAACUUAUAUUAUAAAAUUUUAAAUAAAUUUUAUAUAUUUAAUUUCGUUUCAAUAAAAUUUUAAACUAACAUUAAUCUCAAUGUUUGAUACUUUUUUUUUCCGCCAAAGGAUUUUAAUAUUUAGAGGAAGCGGGCCAAGCCCAGUACAAC
RNAcentral lists this long non-coding RNA (858 nucleotides) under Brassica rapa (field mustard). RNAcentral's name for it is "long non-coding RNA (BRAP_LNC004266)". The record is from RNAcentral. Lineage: Eukaryota; Viridiplantae; Streptophyta; Magnoliopsida; Brassicales; Brassicaceae.